CAACAGUUGAAAAGGGUACCAAAAUUUUUCAAAACAAUAAAGAAUGAGGCUGAUAAACAUACUAGCUAUGAGCAAGAUCAAAAUACACAGCUCCAUCCAACCCAUUUGCACCUUCAGGAUAAGUUCCUUUAGUGGCUUGAAUUCGACGAGAAACAAAAGGCAAAAGCUUUGAAAGUUAAUAUAAAACAAUAUUCAUUAAUUUACAACAUACCUCACAAUCACCAGAAGGAGGCACAAACGUGCGAACACGCGACCACUGGACAAGAAAACCUCCAUGCCUGGUUUUUUGACCCAUUUUCCCAGUUCUUGUACCCUUGUAAUACUGAUGACCCAACUUUGUGGUCAUUGGCAAGCGUCUUGCUCCAAAACAUAAUAAUGAUUGAUGCAUUUUGAAUAACUCUCGAUUUGGGUAAAUGGAGGGUUUAAGUUGGCGCGUUUUCCGUCAUAAAAGAAAAGGUAACGGUAUAAGGUAACAGUCAAAGCGAAACAUAGAAUGUAAACAAUAAAAAUAUUUGUUUAAAACGAACAAA
Molecule: non-coding RNA, 530 nt
Organism: Schizosaccharomyces pombe (fission yeast)
Lineage: Eukaryota; Fungi; Ascomycota; Schizosaccharomycetes; Schizosaccharomycetales; Schizosaccharomycetaceae
Source: the annotation of a GenBank genome assembly